This 63-nucleotide transfer RNA is filed under the name Eucriotettix oculatus. RNAcentral describes it as "tRNA-Glu". The record is from RNAcentral. Lineage: Eukaryota; Metazoa; Arthropoda; Insecta; Orthoptera; Tetrigidae.
AUUUAAGUAGUUUAAAAAAAACUCUACAUUUUCAUUGUAAAAAUAAUAUAUUAUUCUUAAAUA